CUGCAAGUCGAACGAUGAUCCCCAGGCUUGCUGGGGGGAUUAGUGGCGAACGGGUGAGUAACACGUGAGUAACCUGCCCUUGACUCUGGGAUAAGCCUGGGAAACUGGGUCUAAUACCGGAUAUGACCAUUCCGCGCAUGCGGUGGUGGUGGAAAGCUUUUGCGGUUUUGGAUGGACUCGCGGCCUAUCAGCUUGUUGGUGGGGUAAUGGCCUACCAAGGCGACGACGGGUAGCCGGCCUGAGAGGGUGACCGGCCACACUGGGACUGAGACACGGCCCAGACUCCUACGGGAGGCAGCAGUGGGGAAUAUUGCACAAUGGGCGAAAGCCUGAUGCAGCGACGCCGCGUGAGGGAUGACGGCCUUCGGGUUGUAAACCUCUUUCAGUAGGGAAGAAGCGAAAGUGACGGUACCUGCAGAAGAAGCGCCGGCUAACUACGUGCCAGCAGCCGCGGUAAUACGUAGGGCGCAAGCGUUAUCCGGAAUUAUUGGGCGUAAAGAGCUCGUAGGCGGUUUGUCGCGUCUGCUGUGAAAGACCGGGGCUCAACUCCGGUUCUGCAGUGGGUACGGGCAGACUAGAGUGAUGUAGGGGAGACUGGAAUUCCUGGUGUAGCGGUGAAAUGCGCAGAUAUCAGGAGGAACACCGAUGGCGAAGGCAGGUCUCUGGGCAUUAACUGACGCUGAGGAGCGAAAGCAUGGGGAGCGAACAGGAUUAGAUACCCUGGUAGUCCAUGCCGUAAACGUUGGGCACUAGGUGUGGGGGACAUUCCACGUUUUCCGCGCCGUAGCUAACGCAUUAAGUGCCCCGCCUGGGGAGUACGGC
RNAcentral lists this ribosomal RNA (822 nucleotides) under Arthrobacter sp. PAP2-2_Pa. Its description in RNAcentral is "bacterial SSU rRNA". It matches the Rfam family "Bacterial small subunit ribosomal RNA", at positions 55 to 886 of the family's 1533-position model. The record is from RNAcentral. Lineage: Bacteria; Bacillati; Actinomycetota; Actinomycetes; Micrococcales; Micrococcaceae.